GAUCAUGGCUCAAGAUGAACGCUGGCGGCGUGCUUAACACAUGCAAGUCGAGCGAAGCACUCUGCUUUGAUUCUUUCGGGAUGAAGAGCAUUGUGACUGAGCGGCAGACGGGUGAGUAACGCGUGGGUAACCUGCCUCAUACAGGGGGAUAACAGUUAGAAAUGGCUGCUAAUACCGCAUAAGACCACAGCACCGCAUGGUGCAGGGGUAAAAACUCCGGUGGU
Molecule: ribosomal RNA, 224 nt
Filed under: uncultured bacterium
Lineage: Bacteria
Description: partial 16S ribosomal RNA
Rfam family: Bacterial small subunit ribosomal RNA
Source: RNAcentral